Long non-coding RNA from Limulus polyphemus (Atlantic horseshoe crab), 730 nucleotides. RefSeq lists it as uncharacterized. NCBI's taxonomy places the organism in Eukaryota, Metazoa, Arthropoda, Merostomata, Xiphosura, Limulidae. The transcript has 2 exons. The record is from RefSeq and is a predicted model, not a curated record.
AAAAUUCAACAUUAAUCUUACUUAGAAAGCAGUGAAAAUAAAUAAUACUGUAAAAAUUAUUUUUCAUGUAUGAUGAGUAUACAGAUGAUAUGAGUGCAUUGAAAUUCACAUGUUUUUAAGAAACUGAAAUUAGAGAAAUGAGAACAUGCCACUUUUAUUUUUUAUGUGUAUGUGUGUAUAUAUACAUGUAUUAUUUGUUUUCCACUUCUAUAGAAAUCCUGUCAGGAUUUCAAUGUUCUCUUCAGAGAAUCGUCUGAGAAAAUACAAGAACUGACCAUUAAGUUUUCCACAUGUUUACAAAAUAUUAAGAGAUUUAGUGAGAAUCAAAGAAAAGCUUCUGAGAAUGAAAAGGAUGUGUUUUCUCCAGAUUAUACAGGAUAUUGUGUAACAUCAAAACGGAAUGGUGAGGUUGUAUGGGAAAUGCAAGAUCUUCACAUCAAACUAAAGAAAGCUAUUGAAAAGUCAAGGUUGGAGUGUGUAUUUGAAUAAUUUUAAUAGUAAAUAUAGAGAAAAUAAAUAGAUAAAUGAAUAUAUAUACACACAAUAUAUGUAUGUGACAUACAUACAUUUAGUUUGGUUCACAGAAUACAACAGCAACAAAAAGGACAAGCUUUUAUUGUUGUUUUUUUUCAAUAUUAAAAAGAUUACAUUUCAUAUCAAACAUAAAUUCUUAGAUUCCUGUUGCCUCUCAGUGGUAAGUCUGAGGGUUUAUUACACUAAAAAUUGGGUU